AUGGCUAUAAGUACAUUUGCAAGUUUGCUUGCCAAUAAGCCACAUAAGAAGGAUGAAUGGGAGAGACUGCAAGAUUCCGUUGGUACUGGUCCUUCGCUUGAUAAUGAUGGGAACUUAAAAGUGAUGAAAGAUAUACUAUUACUUAGUUACUGGGAUCUUCCACAUCAUUUGAAGACUUGCUUGUUGUACUUGUGUAUAUAUCCAGAGGACUGGGAAAUCAAGUGUAAAGAACUGAAAUGGAAAUGGAUGGCCGAAGGAUUCCUUGAUAGACAAUGGGGACGUUUGGAUGAGGUAGCAGAGAACUGUAUCAAUGAACUUGUUAAUAGAAAUAUGAUCCAGCCAACUGAUAUUGAUUAUGAUGGUACUGUGAAAUAUUGUCGAGUCCAUGAUAUGGUGCUUGACCUUAUCAUAUCUUUAUCAGAUGAAGAGAAUUUUGCCAUUGUUUUUAAUGGCCGUAUCUGCAAUUCUUUUCCAAGAAAGAUUCGUCGUCUCUCCAUGCAAUCGAUUGGCAAAGAGCAUAAUGGGGCAGCCUAUGCAGUUACAGAAGCCAAGUUACAUCUUCGCUCAUUGACUAUGUUUUGGGAAGUUCAGAUACCUUAUAUUGUUGACUUUCCUGCUUUGCCGGUGUUGGAUCUUGGCGAAACCAAGAUACAUGUUCGCUCACUGACUAUAUUUGGGCAAGUUAAGCAGAUACCCCAUCUUGUGGACUUCCAUGCUUUGCGGGUGUUGGAUCUUGAAGAUUGUGAUUGGUUGGAAAACAAGCAUGUAAAACACAUAGGAAGUUCACGUCAGCUGAGGUAUUUGCACAUUUGCAGUGGUACAAUUACUGAGCUUCCUAGUGGAGUCGGAAAGCUGCAGCACUUGGAGACACUCGAUUUGAGAGGCUGA
This 888-nucleotide ribosomal RNA is filed under the name Triticum aestivum (bread wheat). RNAcentral describes it as "partial small subunit ribosomal RNA". The record is from RNAcentral. Lineage: Eukaryota; Viridiplantae; Streptophyta; Magnoliopsida; Poales; Poaceae.